RNAcentral lists this ribosomal RNA (468 nucleotides) under uncultured bacterium. RNAcentral's name for it is "partial 16S ribosomal RNA". It matches the Rfam family "Bacterial small subunit ribosomal RNA", at positions 28 to 507 of the family's 1533-position model. The record is from RNAcentral.
GACGAACGCUGGCGGCGUGCUUAACACAUGCCAGUCGAACGGAAAGGCCCUGCUUUUGUGGGGUGCUCGAGUGGCGAACGGGUGAGUAACACGUGAGUAACCUGCCCUUGACUUUGGGAUAACUUCAGGAAACUGGGGCUAAUACCGGAUAGGAACUCCUGCUGCAUGGUGGGGGUUGGAAAGUUUCGGCGGUUGGGGAUGGACUCGCGGCUUAUCAGCUUGUUGGUGGGGUAGUGGCUUACCAAGGCUUUGACGGGUAGCCGGCCUGAGAGGGUGACCGGCCACAUUGGGACUGAGAUACGGCCCAGACUCCUACGGGAGGCAGCAGUGGGGAAUAUUGCACAAUGGGCGGAAGCCUGAUGCAGCAACGCCGCGUGCGGGAUGACGGCCUUCGGGUUGUAAACCGCUUUCGCCUGUGACGAAGCGUGAGUGACGGUAAUGGGUAAAGAAGCACCGGCUAACUACGUG